UACGGACGGGGCAAGCGUUGUUCGGAAUCAUUGGGCGUAAAGGGCGCGCAGGUGGCUCUGUAUGUCUGCCGUGAAAGCAUACAGCUCAACUGUAUCGUGUCGGUAGAAACUGCAGGACUUGAGGCUGGGAGGGGCUGGUGGAAUUCCCUGUGUAGCGGUGAAAUGCGUAGAGAUGGGGGAGAACACUCGUGGCGAAGGCGGCCAGCUAGACCAGUUCUGACACUGAGGCGCGACAGCGUGGGGAGCAAACAGG
This 253-nucleotide ribosomal RNA is filed under the name uncultured bacterium. Its description in RNAcentral is "partial 16S ribosomal RNA". It matches the Rfam family "Bacterial small subunit ribosomal RNA", at positions 524 to 776 of the family's 1533-position model. The record is from RNAcentral.